Molecule: ribosomal RNA, 503 nt
Filed under: Candida albicans
Lineage: Eukaryota; Fungi; Ascomycota; Pichiomycetes; Serinales; Debaryomycetaceae
Description: eukaryotic LSU rRNA
Rfam family: 5.8S ribosomal RNA (bases 145-298)
Source: RNAcentral
GUAACGUUGAUUGCUUAUUGCACCACAUGUGUUUUUCUUUGAAACAAACUUGCUUUGGCGGUGGGCCCAGCCUGCCGCCAGAGGUCUAAACUUACAACCAAUUUUUUAUCAACUUGUCACACCAGAUUAUUACUUAAUAGUCAAAACUUUCAACAACGGAUCUCUUGGUUCUCGCAUCGAUGAAGAACGCAGCGAAAUGCGAUACGUAAUAUGAAUUGCAGAUAUUCGUGAAUCAUCGAAUCUUUGAACGCACAUUGCGCCCUCUGGUAUUCCGGAGGGCAUGCCUGUUUGAGCGUCGUUUCUCCCUCAAACCGCUGGGUUUGGUGUUGAGCAAUACGACUUGGGUUUGCUUGAAAGACGGUAGUGGUAAGGCGGGAUCGCUUUGACAAUGGCUUAGGUCUAACCAAAAACAUUGCUUGCGGCGGUAACGUCCACCACGUAUAUCUUCAAACUUUGACCUCAAAUCAGGUAGGACUACCCGCUGAACUUAAGCAUAUCAAAAA